Molecule: ribosomal RNA, 1428 nt
Filed under: Lacticaseibacillus casei
Lineage: Bacteria; Bacillati; Bacillota; Bacilli; Lactobacillales; Lactobacillaceae
Description: Lactobacillus casei 16S ribosomal RNA
Rfam family: Bacterial small subunit ribosomal RNA
Source: RNAcentral
ACGAGUGGCGGACGGGUGAGUAACACGUGGGUAACCUGCCCUUAAGUGGGGGAUAACAUUUGGAAACAGAUGCUAAUACCGCAUAGAUCCAAGAACCGCAUGGUUCUUGGCUGAAAGAUGGCGUAAGCUAUCGCUUUUGGAUGGACCCGCGGCGUAUUAGCUAGUUGGUGAGGUAAUGGCUCACCAAGGCGAUGAUACGUAGCCGAACUGAGAGGUUGAUCGGCCACAUUGGGACUGAGACACGGCCCAAACUCCUACGGGAGGCAGCAGUAGGGAAUCUUCCACAAUGGACGCAAGUCUGAUGGAGCAACGCCGCGUGAGUGAAGAAGGCUUUCGGGUCGUAAAACUCUGUUGUUGGAGAAGAAUGGUCGGCAGAGUAACUGUUGUCGGCGUGACGGUAUCCAACCAGAAAGCCACGGCUAACUACGUGCCAGCAGCCGCGGUAAUACGUAGGUGGCAAGCGUUAUCCGGGAUUUAUUGGGCGUAAAGCGAGCGCAGGCGGUUUUUUAAGUCUGAUGUGAAAGCCCUCGGCUUAACCGAGGAAGCGCAUCGGAAACUGGGAAACUUGAGUGCAGAAGAGGACAGUGGAACUCCAUGUGUAGCGGUGAAAUGCGUAGAUAUAUGGAAGAACACCAGUGGCGAAGGCGGCUGUCUGGUCUGUAACUGACGCUGAGGCUCGAAAGCAUGGGUAGCGAACAGGAUUAGAUACCCUGGUAGUCCAUGCCGUAAACGAUGAAUGCUAGGUGUUGGAGGGUUUCCGCCCUUCAGUGCCGCAGCUAACGCAUUAAGCAUUCCGCCUGGGGGAGUACGACCGCACGGUUGAAACUCAAAGGAAUUGACGGGGGCCCGCACAAGCGGUGGAGCAUGUGGUUUAAUUCGAAGCAACGCGAAGAACCUUACCAGGUCUUGACAUCUUUUGAUCACCUGAGAGAUCAGGUUUCCCCUUCGGGGGCAAAAUGACAGGUGGUGCAUGGUUGUCGUCAGCUCGUGUCGUGAGAUGUUGGGUUAAGUCCCGCAACGAGCGCAACCCUUAUGACUAGUUGCCAGCAUUUAGUUGGGCACUCUAGUAAGACUGCCGGUGACAAACCGGAGGAAGGUGGGGAUGACGUCAAAUCAUCAUGCCCCUUAUGACCUGGGCUACACACGUGCUACAAUGGAUGGUACAACGAGUUGCGAGACCGCGAGGUCAAGCUAAUCUCUUAAAGCCAUUCUCAGUUCGGACUGUAGGCUGCAACUCGCCUACACGAAGUCGGAAUCGCUAGUAAUCGCGGAUCAGCACGCCGCGGUGAAUACGUUCCCGGGCCUUGUACACACCGCCCGUCACACCAUGAGAGUUUGUAACACCCGAAGCCGGUGGCGUAACCCUUUUAGGGAGCGAGCCGUCUAAGGUGGGACAAAUGAUUAGGGUGAAGUCGUAACAAGUAGCCG